RNAcentral lists this ribosomal RNA (254 nucleotides) under uncultured bacterium. RNAcentral's name for it is "partial 16S ribosomal RNA". It matches the Rfam family "Bacterial small subunit ribosomal RNA", at positions 524 to 776 of the family's 1533-position model. The record is from RNAcentral.
UACGGGGGGAGCAAGCGUUGUUCGGAUUUACUGGGCGUAAAGGGCGCGUAGGCGGUCAGCACAAGUCAGUUGUGAAAUCUCCGGGCUUAACUCGGAAAGGUCAACUGAUACUGUGCGACUAGAGUGCGGAAGGGGCAACUGGAAUUCUCGGUGUAGCGGUGAAAUGCGUAGAUAUCGAGAGGAACACCUGCGGCGAAGGCGGGUCUCUGGACAGUUCCUGACACUGAGACACGAAGGCCAGGGGAGCAAACGGG